RNAcentral lists this ribosomal RNA (461 nucleotides) under uncultured bacterium. RNAcentral's name for it is "bacterial SSU rRNA". It matches the Rfam family "Bacterial small subunit ribosomal RNA", at positions 18 to 467 of the family's 1533-position model. The record is from RNAcentral.
CAUGGCUCAGAACGAACGCUGGCGGCGUGCUUAACACAUGCAAGUCGAACGCGAACGAGUUCUUCGGAACUUUAGUAGAGUGGCGCACGGGUGAGUAACGCGUAAGUAAUCUACCCUGACAUCUGGAAUAACUCACCGAAAGGUGUGCUAAUACCGGAUACGCUGAGUAAUCAGGAAAGGUGGCCUCUUCAUGAAAGCUACCGUGUCGGGAGGAGCUUGCGUACCAUUAGCUUGUUGGUGGGGUAAUGGCCUACCAAGGCGACGAUGGUUAGCGGGUCUGAGAGGAUGAUCCGCCACACUGGAACUGAAACACGGACCAGACUCCUACGGGAGGCAGCAGUGAGGAAUAUUGCGCAAUGGGGGCAACCCUGACGCAGCGACGCCGCGUGGAUGAUGAAGGCCUUCGGGUCGUAAAAUCCUGUCAGAUGGAAAGAAAUGCCAUAUGCCUAAUAUGUGUAUGG